UGUCCAGACUCCUACGGGAGGCAGCAGUGGGGAAUAUUGCACAAUGGGGGAAACCCUGAUGCAGCGACGCCGCGUGAGCGAUGAAGUAUUUCGGUAUGUAAAGCUCUAUCAGCAGGGAAGAAAAUGACGGUACCUGACUAAGAAGCCCCGGCUAACUACGUGCCAGCAGCCGCGGUAAUACGUAGGGGGCAAGCGUUAUCCGGAUUUACUGGGUGUAAAGGGAGCGUAGACGGAAAGGCAAGUCAGAAGUGAAAGCCCAAGGCUCAACCAUGGGACUGCUUUUGAAACUGUCAAACUAGAGUACGGGAGAGGGAAGAGGAAUUCCUAGUGUAGCGGUGAAAUGCGUAGAUAUUAGGAGGAACACCAGUGGCGAAGGCGUCGUACUGGACCGAAACUGACGUUGAGGCUCGAAAGCGUGGGGAGCAAACAGGAUUAGAUACCCCAGUAGGG
RNAcentral lists this ribosomal RNA (450 nucleotides) under uncultured bacterium. Its description in RNAcentral is "partial 16S ribosomal RNA". It matches the Rfam family "Bacterial small subunit ribosomal RNA", at positions 328 to 795 of the family's 1533-position model. The record is from RNAcentral.